This 73-nucleotide transfer RNA is filed under the name Phrynosoma platyrhinos (Desert horned lizard). RNAcentral's name for it is "tRNA-OTHER". The record is from RNAcentral. Lineage: Eukaryota; Metazoa; Chordata; Lepidosauria; Squamata; Phrynosomatidae.
GCCAGUGUGGUGUAGUGGUUUAAGUGUUGGGCUACAACUCUGGAGACCAGGGUUCGAUUCCCAGUUUCUGUCC